CAUACAGGGCUAUCAUUCGUCUGGGUUAAAGCAGUUGUUGUGAUCAGGCAGAGAGAAUUUGAGAGCAUCAACAAAAAUCCUUAUCGGCUACACUUCAUAAAUGUUUUCUCAGUGGCUGUUUGAUAUAGAUGUUUCAUUCAUUGCAUUAGAACAUAUGAUUCUGGGAGCAAAUUAUCUUCGCUGAUCUGUUUUAGAGAGAUGCCUGAUUAGCUGCACAAGCAUACAUGGUUCUGUUAAUAAUUUGUUUGCCUUGAUCAUCUUGAUAUUCAGUUAUGUUGGUAUGGUCAGAAAACAAGCUUCAAAAGUAUUUAUGAUGACCGUUUGCAUGGUGGGUCUUGUCAGCAAUAUGCUUUGCAUAUUCAUGAUUCAACCAUUUGUUGGAUGUUUUAGUUUACAUGUUUCUCCGGAAAAUGUUUGUAUGUCUAUGUAGUCGUUUUGGAAUGGGCUAUGAUUCUUUUUUAGUAUUUUAGUUUACACCACUAUAUUGGUAUAGUAUAGGUUUGUACUGUUUCCUUGGGAAUCUAUAGAUCCAGUCAAGCUGGGAUAGGAUACAUUUGUUUUACUCGGUCAUGGCGAUGGCACUCGAUACCGAGGACAUGGCAACAGGUCAAGAGUCCAUCUUUUUUAUACAUUUUUGCAGGCUUUCCUCUCGAAAUGCAGAACUCUUUUUCGCUCCCCAUCGAUGACGGUCUUCUUGUAUGAACAUUUUCAUCUAUGCUCCCUAUUUUCCUUGCUCCACUAAAUAAAAUUUUUAGUACCAAAAUGGUGUUGAUUAAUCAUUUUCUACACCUAUAUAUGUGUGUUUCAGGGUGUUUACCUUUGCGGUUAUCAUUAUGAGGCCUUGUAUGGAGCAAUACCUUAUAUUAUAGUUCACCCAGAAGGGAACAUAAUGGUUGACAGGUAAAUAGAUUCAACCUAUGAAGUCGCUCCUCGGCUACAAGGUUGUAUAUGUUUCUGAUAGAAGUUCAGUUUAAGCACAAGUAAUAGUAUUGAACGAUUUGCAUAGCAUGGUGACAUAAAGGAAGUAAGUAAUAGAUCCCUCUAGCGUAUAUGUGUAGUUUACGGUUUGUCGUUAAUUGAUUUUUGGUCGGAACCUUGAUGGGCACAUCAGCCAUGGUUCUUGCCUCUUAUUUGGAGAGCAUGAACAAAUUGGAAAAUCAGUAGUGAUGGCAGAGAAAAUACUAAGUUUGCUUCCAUUCAUAUUAUCAGCGGCUACAUUCUCUUGGAUAGUAAUGUUGGUUUACAUGUUGAUAUCUUUUUACUUUUCCCUUACUAAAAUAAUUACUUUACCUAGGAGGCUACAUUCUGAUAUUAUCACUACGUAUUACACAUGAUUUUAGAGGAGGCUAAAACAACUUAGUAAUAAUCGUGCACAUAUACAUCACUAUCUGGAAAUGAUUUUAUGGGACGAGCACCGGACUUGUGUUUGACAAUAUAUGCUGAAAUGUUAUGUGUUCUUUACCUUUAGAUUUAUCACUCUAGGUGAAGUGAAUUUUGUUUGUAAGGAGCACGAGAGGCGAGGCCUGGCCGAAGUGGAGGAUGUCCCAUGGUGAGGGGAGGGGAGGGCAAGGCAGAGACAUGCAACAUCGAGGGUUGCAACCGUCAGCGGAAGACACCUUCUAAAAUUCCCACUCACAACGGUUAGAUGCUACUCUAUUCCUCUCCAUUGUCAUUGACGCUAUUACAAUUACAGGUUUAAGCCUCUUUGUCCCUCUCCUAUAAUCUAGCAAUAUAUCAGUUCUUAAAUUGAUUCAGUUCUUCAGCAUACAUAGCAUUCAAAUGCUUGAUGUUUUAAGUUUUAACUCUUUGGGUGGCCUUGCUUGAUAUUCUCCUCAUGUCUAUAGAUUGUUACAACGGAAUAACUUGUCAGACUCUUUGCAUGUUUAUAAGCUUAUCAGUUCAUUUUUCAAGAUUAUAU
RNAcentral lists this long non-coding RNA (1918 nucleotides) under Triticum aestivum (bread wheat). RNAcentral's name for it is "long non-coding RNA (TAES_LNC018405)". Lineage: Eukaryota; Viridiplantae; Streptophyta; Magnoliopsida; Poales; Poaceae. The record is from RNAcentral.